UUUGGAAUGAGUCCAGUCAGGAAGCGGAGAUUUUAAAGAUCUUUACACUCUUAACCAUAUGUUGGAGUGGGCGUGGUCAGGAUGGAACCAGCUGUGUUACCUCGCUGGGAGAUGGUCCUGUACUGGUUCCUGUCCUUCACCUCUCACCUCUACUCCUUCUACCAGCUUCAUCUGUUCUCUAAAGAGCAUGAGGAGACCCUGGACAGAGAGGGGCAGCUGGAGAAGAGCUUCUUGAUCCGAGGCAGCAGAAAGGAUGGUGCUGAUUUUGAGUGGAGUUUUUGGAAUGAGUGGGCGUGGCAUUCUCUUCUCUGGUCUCUGAUUGGUCAUGCUGUGGUGUCACAUCUCUCCUGUGUGUGUGUGCCGCAGUUGAGGAAAGCUGUCCUAACAGUCUACGGUGUUCUGUGUGCCUGGUGGCUGCUCGGCUCGAAAGGUGUGGCCAUUCUAAUGCUUCACCUGAGUGUUUCAUUGGCUGUUGCUCAGCUGCGGAGCCCCGCCCUUUCCUGGGGCUGCACUCUGUUACUGCUUUCUACGCUACACAUCGGCAGUGUGCAGGACACACAGCGAGGCUGGUACGAUUCAGACGAGCGCUAUUAUCUCCUGACGUUCAGCAUCGCAAUGUGUGUGUUACGCUGCGUCAGCUUCAGCCUGGAGCUGUGCUGGAGCCCUCUGCAGGACAAAAAGGCCAACAGAUAUUUCUCUUUUCUGAACUUCAAAACAUUUCUAACACAACUCUACAACCUGGUCUCAUACUGUUUCUACCAUCCACUGUUCUACAACGGCCCCAUCAUUAACUACAACCAUUUCAGCCAACAGAUGGAGACUGCGGUGUGUAAGACGUCACCAGUAGUGUUGUUGGGCAAAACCUUGCGUGUAUGUGUGUGGUGGUGUUUAGCUGAGCUCAUGAUCCACUUCAUGUCUAUGCACAGCAUCCAGAACAAUGAGACCUACCUCACCAUGCUUCCUUCCUGGGCUCUGGGAGGCCUGGCUCUGGCUCUCGUACAGUUUUUCUACGUGAAGUACUUAGUGUUGUUUGGCAUUGUGUCCCUGCUGAUGGAGUUGGAUGGUAUUGAGCCUCCGCCACUGCCCCGCUGUGUGAGCACCAUGUACAGCUUCCGAGGAAUGUGGAGGUACUUUGAUGUGGGACUAUACAGAUGGCUUAUCAGGUAUGUGUACGUUCCUUUGGGUGGGUCUCAGCAUGGGCUUUUCCAGAAGCUUAUCUCCAUGGCGAUGACGUUCGGCUUUGUGUGUUUGUGGCACGGUUGCCAUGACUACCUGCAGUGCUGGGCCCUGCUCAACUGGGUGUGUGUGUUCAUAGAGAACAUCAUCACACUCUUCCUCUGCUGGCGACCUAUUCAUCAUGCCAUUGUAUGUUUUUUGUCUCCACCCAUGAGAAGGCGUGGCCUGGCGCUUAUCUCUGCCUUUUCCACAGCUAUGCUAAUUUUGUCCAAUUUGGUGUUUCUCGGAGGAAUUCAUAUCGGCCGUGUGUACUGGGAGAGAGUGUUCAUGCAAGGCUGGUCCUCCAUGGCAGUUCCUGUCCUCGGGUGUCUGUACUUUUUUGCGCAGGUUGGACUGGAGAUGGACAGUAGAAAGACAUGAAGACUUUGUGUGAAUUUGAUCUUCCUUUAGUAAGACAGACAGGUGGCGUGUGAAGACUAGGGGGGAUUUCUUGUCCCUGAUCUGGAGUUCGGUCUCAGACAAGGUGCCUCAGGUGUGUUGCUGUUGACUCUGAGAUGUCCAGAGUGAGUGCUGACACCACCUGUCUCCAAUCCAGCUCAGGAUCAGCACCUCAUCAUUUUCACAUGAGGAUUUAUAUAAUUCUUUAGUAUUGAUUUUAUCUGUAUUAAUGAUUUUAUCACAGUUCAGCACAGAGGACUGAAUCCUUGCUGCUAUCUGCUUAAUGUGACCUGUUCAAGUGCUUCCACCUGACCACAUACUGUUUAAAUACACAGAUCAGCCACAGAUUUAGACCCACUGCAGGUGAAGUAACACUGAUUAUCUGGUUACAGCUGCACCUGUCAGGGAUGGGACACAUUAAACAGCAAUGAACAGUCCGCUCUCAAAGUUGGUGUGUUGAAAGCAGGAAAAAUGGGAAUGCAGGAGUUGAGUUGAGGGACUUUGACAAGUGCCGGAUUGUAAGGUUUAGACAACUGUGUCAAAGAGUCUUCAAAACUGCAGCUCUUGUGGGAUAUCCCCGGUCUGCAGUGAUCAGGACGUACAAAAAGUGGAGCAGAGUGGUCAGGCUGACACAUGGCCAUCGCCAAAAGCUUCAAAAAUGGCAACGUGCGCAUCAGAACUGGACCAAAAAGCAGCGAAGAAAGGUGGCCUGUUCUGAUGGGUCGCAUCAUGUGGAUGGCCAGUGUCAUUUACCAAGAAAAGAGAUGACACCAGGAUAUGAACUAUGGAACAGUUUGAGGAACAUGAUCAAGAGUUCGAGGUGUUGACUCUGCCUCCAAAAUCUCCAGGUCGGCGUCUGUGGGAUGUGCUGGAAAAACACGUCUCAUCCAUAGAGGUUCCACCUCACAACUUACAGGAUUUAAAGGAUCUGCCACUGAUUACUUGGUGCCAGAUACCACACACAGCUUCAGAGGUCUAGUGGACUCCAGGUCUCGAUGGAGCUGGGCUGUUUUAGGGGACUACUGUAUAGAAUAUUAGCUCGAUGGAUUUAGUGUUGUGGGUGAUCAGUGUAUGCAGACUCUUACUCUCUGUCUCUCUCUGUGUGAACAGUCAAUGGAGGACGUAGUUGUUACUUGUUCAGUCUCUAAGACAGCAUUAAUGAUGUAUGUUCUGACGAUGUAUGAUCACAGAUAUCUAAAAAAAAUUGGUCACAGAGAAAACACUCACACGGAACAUCAGCUUCUUCCUAACAACGCAGCUCAGAUUCACUCCACUUUAGUGUUAGAUUCAGGCAGGGGGUGUGGCCUGAUGUUUUGAGGCAGAGAAUGUACACUAGUAGUCAUUUGGAUGAUAAUAUAUUUUGCAUAUGAUUUGCAUAUUUAAAUGUUUAAACCAUGCAUCAUUAUGCUUUUUAUUUGCUACGUGAAACAAUCAGAGCUCGCUGUCACUCAGCAGAAUCAGGUGGUGCUCCAUGCUGCAUAACUAAUCUUGUAGCUGUAUGUGUGUCUGUGUGUGUGUUUCCUGAUCACACACUCUUGUCUUUCUCUUAGAUGUGCUGCCAGGUUUUUUCAACUUUACAUGUCGAGCUCCCAACCUCUCCGCUCUCUCUCUCUCUCUCUCUCACACACACACACACACACACACACACACUUUUCGCCUUAAUUUUUCUCUUUCUCUGGAUAUUGUACUCUCUCAUUUUUACUCGUCUUUAACCCCCCCACUGGGAUAGUGUGUUACUGGUUAGUGUUUUAGGUGGGAGUGUGUUAAUAGUUAGUGUGUUAGGAGUUAAUGGGUUACUGGUAAGUAUGUUAGGGGUUAGCGUGUUACUGGUUAGUGGGUUAGGGGUUAGUGUGUUCGGGGAUACUGGAUACUGGCCCUCCAGGACUGAAGCUGAACAUCCAUGUGUUAGUGAGCUUCCAAGUUGUUAGUGGCUUUUUGUGUAUGAUCCGAUCCAGCUCGAUCCAAAUUAGAGAGGGUGUAAUUCUUUCUGUGCAGGUUUGUCCCACAAGGGGGUAGUAUUAGGUGAGUUAAAAAGUUUCUGUAAGGGAAAUGUGACUUCUAUUCCUGAUCAGUAAACUUUGUGAAAAAAUGCUCUCCCUCCUGUCUUUACUUUAUAAUCCACUGGGUCUCUGGCUGUGGAAGGAGCUCUGAUUGGCUCACAUUUCAAAUGUAGUAAAGCGUAAUACCCAAUCACAGGUAAUACCGAAUCCUUGUAACAAAAAAAGAUGAGAUGUCUGACCUAUCUUCAAGGUUGGAGAAAAAUACCUAAGUUUUUAGCAGAUUGAACACUUCACAGUGGGCAGAACUACUUUGCGCAGGACAAAAAAGCUAACACCCAUGCUGCUAAUGUAAUUAACAUGAAAAUAUUGUUAACACUAGGCCUGACCCUGCUGAAGGUGUUAGCGCUACCAGCGACACAGGAACACACGGAGGCCGAGAAACACUACACAGGUAAAGGGCAACAUAGAAAGGAAAUGUUAAAAAUAAACAUUGUUGUUAUGAUGACUGACCUGAGGAACAGCAGCAUGAGCUCACACCCAUGGACAACGGAGAGAUCAGAUCGAAGGAGCCAAAAUUUUGGGGCAGUUCAGAAGCCCCGUGCCACCGGUUUAAGGACCCGCAUAUCACAGCACAGAUAAACGAUUCUCAUAGUAGACAAAAGGUAAAAGAAAAAUAUCACUCCCAGUCUGUCUUUAAGAUAACACAACAUUUUAUAAAUGAACACAACAUGAUAGAAAAAACGGGAAAAUGCAAACGCCAUCUCGUCAUACACAACAUUCAGAUCCACAGGGGUUUGGGGUUUUUGGAGGGUGUGGGCUGUGGGUAUGAUGAGGUUUAAAAUCAUAUAAAAAUGCAAAACUUAUGCAUUAAAGUUAUUUUAACAUCUUGA
This is an RNA transcript of Clarias gariepinus (North African catfish), 4504 nucleotides long. It is a transcript of the gene named hedgehog acyltransferase, with no coding region annotated. The transcript has 13 exons. The record is from RefSeq and is a predicted model, not a curated record. Lineage: Eukaryota; Metazoa; Chordata; Actinopteri; Siluriformes; Clariidae.